UAGGCAGUGAGAUGAAGGAAGAAGAGCCUUUCCUGAAAGGACGUCCACUCCCCUGUUCGCAGGUCAACCCUUUCAGAGACCGUAUCUGCAGAGUGUUCUCCCACAAAGGCGUGUUCUCCUUUGAGGAUGUGCUGGGCAUGGCAUCUGUGUUCAGCGAGCAGGCCUGCCCAAGCCUGAAGAUUGAGUACGCCUUUCGCAUCUAUGACUUUAAUGAGAAUGGCUUCAUUGAUGAGGAGGAUCUGCAGAAGAUCAUCCUGCGACUGCUGAACAGUGAUGACAUGUCUGAGGACAUGCUGAUGGACCUCACGAACCAUGUCCUGAGUGAGUCGGAUCUGGACAAUGACAACAUGCUGUCCUUCUCAGAGUUUGAACAUGCAAUGGCCAAGUCUCCGGAUUUCAUGAACUCCUUUCGGAUUCACUUCUGGGGAUGCUGAUGUAGCGGCAAAUACCUGACGUGUCAGCCUCGAGGGAGACCACCGGAAUCGAACCCCCUCCAGCACUGGAGGGAGCUGGUUUGAAAUAUGACUUUGUACUGGGCCCACCCUCACCUCUAGAAUAUUGUUUAUUAGAUAAAAGAAAAGAAAACCCUUUUCCU
This 595-nucleotide small RNA is filed under the name Pongo abelii (Sumatran orangutan). RNAcentral's name for it is "processed transcript". The record is from RNAcentral. Lineage: Eukaryota; Metazoa; Chordata; Mammalia; Primates; Hominidae.